This is a long non-coding RNA of Homo sapiens (human), 614 nucleotides long. Ensembl annotates it as CATSPER2 pseudogene 1. Its record names the gene CATSPER2P1. NCBI's taxonomy places the organism in Eukaryota, Metazoa, Chordata, Mammalia, Primates, Hominidae. The record is from Ensembl.
GGCCGGAGCGCGGGGCGGGGCCGAGGCGGCGAGUGUCUGGGCGAGCGUGGCUGGGCCCGGUCCUGGGCUGGGGGCAGGGGCUAGGGCCGGGUCCCGGGACAUGGCCGCUUACCAACAAGAAGGGCAGAUGCAGCUUCCCCGAGCUGAUGCCAUUCGUUCACGUCUCAUCGAUACUUUCUCUCUCAUCGAGCAUUUGCAAGGCUUGAGCCAAGCUGUGCUGCGACACACUAUCAGGAGUUACUUGAUCCUUCCCGCCAGAAGAAACUUAUGUUGGGAGAUCAACACCAGCUAGUGGGCGUCUCUAUAAAGCCUCAACGUAUAGAACAGAUUUCACAUGCCCAGAGGCUGUUGAGCAGGCUUCAUGUGCGCUGCAGUCAGAGGCCACCUCUUUCUUUGUGGGCCGGAUGGGUCCUUGAGUGUAUCCUUUCAUGUCACUCAUUUUUAUCCUGGCUGUUGAUCAUCUGCCUAAUGACUUAUUUUUUGCUUCCCAAACUCCAUUGUCUCAUUCUCACUGCUUAUGUUAUUGCUCUUAUUAUUUCAGCUGCAUAAAUCAGAAAGAACUCCACUCUGUAUGUUUCCUUAAGAGACAACAGGUCCUCUCUUCAAAAACUUCA